This 224-nucleotide ribosomal RNA is filed under the name uncultured bacterium. Its description in RNAcentral is "partial 16S ribosomal RNA". It matches the Rfam family "Bacterial small subunit ribosomal RNA", at positions 1268 to 1500 of the family's 1533-position model. The record is from RNAcentral.
CGAAUCUCGAAAGCCUAUCUCAGUUCGGAUUGGAGGCUGAAACCCGCCUCCAUGAAGUUGGAUUCGCUAGUAAUCGCGCAUCAGCCAUGGCGCGGUGAAUACGUUCCCGGGCCUUGUACACACCGCCCGUCAAGCCAUGGGAGCUGGGGGUGCCUGAAGUUCGUGACCGCAAGGAUCGACCUAGGGCAAAACCGGUGACUGGGGCUAAGUCGUAACAAGGUAUC